AACGAACGCUGGCGGCAUGCCUAACACAUGCAAGUCGAACGAGACCUUCGGGUCUAGUGGCGCACGGGUGCGUAACGCGUGGGAAUCUGCCCUUGGGUUCGGAAUAACAGUUGGAAACGACUGCUAAUACCGGAUGAUGACGUAAGUCCAAAGAUUUAUCGCCCAGGGAUGAGCCCGCGUAGGAUUAGCUAGUUGGUGGGGUAAAGGCCUACCAAGGCGACGAUCCUUAGCUGGUCUGAGAGGAUGAUCAGCCACACUGGGACUGAGACACGGCCCAGACUCCUACGGGAGGCAGCAGUGGGGAAUAUUGGACAAUGGGCGAAAGCCUGAUCCAGCAAUGCCGCGUGAGUGAUGAAGGCCUUAGGGUUGUAAAGCUCUUUUACCCGGGAUGAUAAUGACAGUACCGGGAGAAUAAGCCCCGGCUAACUCCGU
Molecule: ribosomal RNA, 432 nt
Filed under: uncultured bacterium
Lineage: Bacteria
Description: partial 16S ribosomal RNA
Rfam family: Bacterial small subunit ribosomal RNA
Source: RNAcentral